This 1351-nucleotide unclassified non-coding RNA is filed under the name uncultured fungus. RNAcentral's name for it is "sequence contains 18S rRNA gene, ITS1, 5.8S rRNA gene, ITS2, 28S rRNA gene". The stretch from base 351 to 1351 matches the Rfam family "Eukaryotic large subunit ribosomal RNA", at positions 1 to 961 of the family's 3401-position model. The record is from RNAcentral. Lineage: Eukaryota; Fungi.
GGUUGGAUCAUUAUCUCAACACAUUUGCUAACACUGAACCGGGACGCAAGUCUCUCUAAUCUAAAACAAUCUAGUGAUCAAUUAAUUAAAAAACUUUUAACAACGGAUCUCUUGGCUCUCACAUCGAUGAAGAACGCAGCAAACUGCGAUACGUAGUGUGAAUUGCAGAAUUUGUGAAUCAUCGAAUCUUUGAACGCACUUUGCACUCUUCCUUGGGAGAGUAUGCCUGUUUGAGUACCUAAUCCUUCUCCCGUCAGGGGUCUUGAGCGGUCGCACGGCGUCGCUUUAAAUGGAUUUAGGGAGCAGUGUUGGAAGGGACUUGUCCUGCGCACCAACCCCUUUAGCACAAAAGGUCUCAAAUCAGGUAGGAAGACCCGCUGAACUUAAGCAUAUCAAUAAGCGGAGGAAAAGAAACUAACAAGGAUCCCCCUAGUAACGGCGAGUGAAGCGGGGAGAGCUCAAAUUUGAAAUCUCCUAGGGCAACCUGGGCGAGUUGUAGUUUAGAGGAGCAUUGUCGAGACUGCGCGCUGCCAAAAUCUCCUGGAAAGGGGUGCCGUAGAGGGUUAAAGCCCCGUUUGGCGGUGUUCGGGUCUUGUGCGACGUGUUUCCCAAGAGUCGGUUUGUUUGGGAAUGCAGACCUAAAUGGGUGGUAAAUACCAUCUAAAGCUAAAUACAAGUGAGAGACCGAUAGCGAACAAGUACCGUGAGGGAAAGAUGAAAAGAACUUUGAAAAGAGAGUUAAACAGUACGUGAAAUUGUUAAAAGGGAAACGUUUGAAACCAGUAUUGCAACGGGAAAUUCAGCCUACCAUUGGUGGGUGCACUUUUCCCUGGCGAGUCAACAUCAGUUUUGGGCGAGAUACAAGGCCGUUUGCAGGUGUCCCCUCGGGGAGUUAUAGCUUGCGGUGAUGCCUCGCGCAGGACUGAGGACUGCAGUGUGAAACGAGAUGAGGUCGCCCCGGAACGCAUUUCCAGAGACUGCUUGCAGAUUCUGACGGAUGUCUACGGGUUUGGCUAGAGUCUUUAGCACUAGGGAUGUUGACGAAAUGGUUUUAAGCGACCCGUCUUGAAACACGGACCAAGGAGUCUAACAUAUGCGCGAGUAUUUGGGUGGCAAACCCUUGUGCGGAAUGAAAGUGAAAAGCUGAGAAUUUAUGCAUCAGCGACCGGGCCUUUAGGUCUGAGUAUGAGCGUAUAUGUUGGGACCCGAAAGAUGGUGAACUAUGCCUGGGUAGGGUGAAGCCAGAGGAAACUCUGGUGGAGGCUCGUAGCGGUUCUGACGUGCAAAUCGAUCGUCAAACCUGGGUAUAGGGGCGAAAGACUAAUCGAACCAUCUAGUAGCUGGUUCCCUC